This 494-nucleotide long non-coding RNA is filed under the name Lathyrus oleraceus (garden pea). RNAcentral describes it as "Pisum sativum (pea) long non-coding RNA (PSAT_LNC019266)". Lineage: Eukaryota; Viridiplantae; Streptophyta; Magnoliopsida; Fabales; Fabaceae. The record is from RNAcentral.
AUUCAAAAUUCAUAUUCAUAUUGUGUUAUACAACAUGAUAGAUGAUACGUAUCAAAAUUGAAUAACAAAAAAAAAAAUAUAGUAUGUUACCUGUAUUAUAAUGAAAGAUGACCAAGCAGAACAGCCCAAUAAUAUGAAAAGUGUUCCUGAGACCCAAUGUUUAAGAGUUUGAGUGUCGUGACUUCCAGCAUGAUGAUGAGUUGUGUUUGGAGUAUAAAAAAGGUGGAUUGGUGGUCCUUUGUAAAUAGUCAUUAAUAAUGCUCCUCCAAAUGUUACUAUUGUCCCAAUCACCUUUGCUAUGCUUCUUAUCUGCUUAAUAUUCACACGUUCAAUCCUGAUAAAAAAGGUGGAUUGGUGGUCCUUUGUAAAUAGUCAUUAAUAAUGCUCCUCCAAAUGUUACUAUUGUCCCAAUCACCUUUGCUAUGCUUCUUAUCUGCUUAAUAUUCACACGUUCAAUCCUGAUAAAUGGCGAACUAUAAGAUUAGUACUUUUUU